CAACCCUCAAGCCCCAGUGCUUGGUGUUGGGGUAUAGCCUGUAAAAAGGCUAGCCCUGAAAUCCAGUGGCGUGCUCGCUAAGACUCCGAGCGUAGUAAUUCUCUCUCGCUUAGGUUGGAUUAGCGGUGCGCAGCCGUAAAACCCUCUAUAUCUGAAA
This 157-nucleotide unclassified non-coding RNA is filed under the name uncultured Diaporthales. RNAcentral's name for it is "sequence contains ITS2". Lineage: Eukaryota; Fungi; Ascomycota; Sordariomycetes; Diaporthales. The record is from RNAcentral.